This 256-nucleotide ribosomal RNA is filed under the name Candidatus Pantoea gossypiicola. RNAcentral describes it as "Pantoea sp. B_8 partial 23S ribosomal RNA". It matches the Rfam family "Bacterial large subunit ribosomal RNA", at positions 2693 to 2925 of the family's 2925-position model. Lineage: Bacteria; Pseudomonadati; Pseudomonadota; Gammaproteobacteria; Enterobacterales; Erwiniaceae. The record is from RNAcentral.
CGGAGUGAACGCACCACUGGUGUUCGGGUUGUCAUGCCAAUGGCACUGCCCGGUAGCUAAGUGCGGAAAAGAUAAGUGCUGAAAGCAUCUAAGCACGAAACUUGCCCCGAGAUGAGUUCUCCCUGACCCCUUGAGGGUCCUGAAGGGACGUUGAAGACGACGACGUUGAUAGGCCGGGUGUGUAAGCGCAGCGAUGCGUUGAGCUAACCGGUACUAAUGACCCGUGAGGCUUAACCUUACAACGCCAGAGGCGUUU